This is a long non-coding RNA of Pygocentrus nattereri (red-bellied piranha), 461 nucleotides long. The record is from Ensembl. NCBI's taxonomy places the organism in Eukaryota, Metazoa, Chordata, Actinopteri, Characiformes, Serrasalmidae.
GUUAGACUACAAUAUAUCAUUUUAAGGUGGAACCUGACAGGUUCGCUGAAUGAGGAACAUGCUGCAUCGAAAUGUAAUUAGAUCAAAGAAUGAGAUUCUGAUUUAUGUUUGCAGGACACUAAAGGGGAGGAGAUGUCCUCCAAGCUGCAUAGACUGCGGUCACGGAUGUCAAAGUUUUUCAAGGACAAAAGCUAACAGUAACAUCCACCCUAAAAGCAAAAGAAAGAGGAUCAGGCCAUCCCUGUACACAAUUGUUGUUCUCUCAGGAAGAUGGAUGCGUGUGUUCCCAGGGCAGAUGGCUGUGAUGCUCCUCUCUGUGCAUGGCUCACAGAUUAACAUCCCGCUCAGGUGUCAGAACUGAUGAGGCAGCACUGGUGUACAGCAUUGCACCAUUUGCAUCAGUGCUGUACUGUUCUGCAAUGUGGGUGGUCAGUUGUUCAAAAUUAAUAUAAUGAGGUGCC